Molecule: unclassified non-coding RNA, 345 nt
Filed under: soil metagenome
Description: partial contains 5.8S ribosomal RNA, internal transcribed spacer 2, and large subunit ribosomal RNA
Rfam family: 5.8S ribosomal RNA (bases 1-119)
Source: RNAcentral
GAUGAAGAACGCAGCGAAAUGCGAUACGUAAUGUGAAUUGCAAAUUCAGUGAAUCAUCGAGUCUUUGAACGCACAUUGCGCCCCCUGGUAUUCCGGGGGGCAUGCCUGUCCGAGCGUCAUUGCUGCCCUCAAGCACGGCUUGUGUGUUGGGCCCCGUCCUCCGAUCCCGGGGGACGGGCCCGAAAGGCAGCGGCGGCACCGCGUCCGGUCCUCGAGCGUAUGGGGCUUUGUCACCCGCUCUGUAGGCCCGGCCGGCGCUUCCCGAUCAACCCAAAUUUUUAUCCAGGUUGACCUCGGAUCAGGUAGGGAUACCCGCUGAACUUAAGCAUAUCAAUAAGCGGAGGA